Molecule: long non-coding RNA, 1638 nt
Filed under: Macaca mulatta (Rhesus monkey)
Lineage: Eukaryota; Metazoa; Chordata; Mammalia; Primates; Cercopithecidae
Description: lncRNA (ENSMMUG00000063371.1)
Source: RNAcentral
GGCUUUCUCCGGAGAAAUGAGGGUGAUGAACCUAAGACACAAACAGAGCCAAGAUCGACUUUCUUAGGAAGGGGGAGAGGAGGGAACUCUUCACGAAGGGAGGUGGGAGUCCACCUCAGACCUCUAUUGGAAGGAAAUCGAGUUGUUCCGGGAGACUGAGAUCUCUUGCAUAAGGCAUGGGAUCCUUAUUAUUUAAAAAAAAAAAAAAAAAAAAAAAAACCCGCGGAGGAGCUCUUGGCAAAUGAAUAUCGAGGCGCCGCUCUAGCUGGUUAGGCUUGGGAUGCGAUAACUGAGUGCCCUCCUGCAGACUUGCAUAGAAAUAAUUACUGGGUUGUCGUGGAGGGGACACGAGACAGAGGGAGUUCUCCGUAAAUGUGUCUUGCUGAGAGAAAGGUCCAAGAAUGCAAUUCGUCCCACAGUGGCCCGGCAGGGGCGGGGUGCGAGUGGGUGGUGGAGUAGGGGUGGGAGUGGAGAGAGGUCAUUUCUGUAGAGAAUAAUUAUAGCACCAGGGCCCGCCGAGGCACGAGGCACUCUAUUUUGUUUUGUAAUCACGACGACUAUUAUUUUUAGUCCGAUCAAUGAGCAUAAUUUCUAUGUAGUCCAGCGGUGGAUGCGCGCAAACUUCUGCGCACCGCUGGAAACCCACUAGAUUCAGUUGCAGAACGUACCGCGUAGACGCCCCUGGUGGCGCUGAGAGAAGAGCUAGGCCUGCCCAGCACAGAGCCGGAGAGCGUCGGGCCUUCCGGAAGGUUCGAUGAGAUGAGUUCCUAUUUGACCUCUGAGCCGAGGCGGGCCGGAAGCCGAGGCCUAGGCCCCGCCGGGGCUGCAAGGGAAAGGCGAAACUCCGAGCGUAGCGACUUUUCCAUGUGAUUCCUUUCUCUGGCAUCCCGGACCGCGGGCCUUGCAGCCACCUGGACCGGCAUUCAAAGGUUUCUACAAGUCCAGCUUCACAGACUGGCUCUCCCAGACGCUCCGGAGCCCGCACCACGAACAGAAUAAAGGAGAGACGAGAGAUCGCAACUAGGAACACAGUAUGUCUCUUCCCAAUGUUUUAUUCGGUUGCUGGUUUCCCCACUUCUGACCGGAGGUAUGCGGGAAGAACACUGGCUGUUAUUAUUAUGAUUAUUGAGUAUCCAAUACUCUCCUCCAAUAUUUCCACCAAGAAUUAUUAUUGCUACUCUCCUCAUUCAUGUUAGUGUUGCUUCGUGUGCUUUAGAUAAUAAUUGUCCUCGUUACUCUCCAAGUUUUUUGUUGUUGUUGUCGCUGUUGGGUUUUGCUUUGUUUUUGCUUUUUGUUUUUCCUGUUCAGGGUAAUGAAAUGAGAACUGGAAGAGGCGAUAUCAUUUCGAGGCCCAGCUGAGAAGGAUCCCAAUGCUAAAAAUGUACACACUUCGAAGAGCAGAAAGGUGGAAGCGAGUGGUGCUUGGACACAAGGAUGCCACUGUCCUAUCUCCUCCAAUUUGGGAAGUGACCAGCCUAGAAAGGUGAGGGUCCCAGCUGGGAGACCAUGGAGUCCCUCCAGGGUCACACUGAGCCUGAGAACUCCAACCAUCCUGCAGGUCAAAACCCACUGAUAGGUCUCCCAAAAUGUUUGGGGUAGGGGAAGAAACAGACGGCAUUCCAGGUCUGUAACCCUGUA